Molecule: ribosomal RNA, 253 nt
Filed under: uncultured bacterium
Lineage: Bacteria
Description: partial 16S ribosomal RNA
Rfam family: Bacterial small subunit ribosomal RNA
Source: RNAcentral
UACAGAGGGUGCAAGCGUUGUUCGGAAUUAUUGGGCGUAAAGCGCGCGUAGGCGGCUUUGCAAGUCGGGUGUGAAAGCCCUCAGCUCAACUGAGGAAGUGCGCCCGAAACUGCAGAGCUUGAGUGCCGGAGAGGGUGGCGGAAUUCCCCAAGUAGAGGUGAAAUUCGUAGAUAUGGGGAGGAACACCCGUGGCGAAGGCGGUUCUCUGGGACGGUACUGACGCUGAGACGCGAAAGCGUGGGGAGCGAACAGG